Corticium candelabrum is the source of this 313-nucleotide long non-coding RNA. RefSeq lists it as uncharacterized. The transcript is spliced from 3 exons. NCBI's taxonomy places the organism in Eukaryota, Metazoa, Porifera, Homoscleromorpha, Homosclerophorida, Plakinidae. The record is from RefSeq and is a predicted model, not a curated record.
GUAAUUUGUCUAAACACCUUGAGUUCGAGAUCAGUCGUUUCAUGUGCACGCAGAAAUUGAAUACUACUUUGAGGGUAGACGAGAUGGCGAGUCAAACUAAGAUAUCAGAGAGUUCGUGUCUUUCGAGAGGCCGAGCUCUAGCUAGGCUUUACACCACGAAGAUCUGCUGUAGCUACCUGAAACGGAUCCAAAUUUCUGGCUGGCUGUUGCUUUGAUCUAGUUCGUAGCACACGUUGCCACUGUCUUCAAAUCCCUUAGGGGAUGUGCCACUCCAUCUCUUCGGAGCUCAUACACCUUGAGGAGAUCUCUCUAU